UAGGGAAUCUUCGGCAAUGGACGAAAGUCUGACCGAGCAACGCCGCGUGAGUGAAGAAGGUUUUCGGAUCGUAAAACUCUGUUGUUAGAGAAGAACAAGGACGUUAGUAACUGAACGUCCCCUGACGGUAUCUAACCAGAAAGCCACGGCUAACUACGUGCCAGCAGCCGCGGUAAUACGUAGGUGGCAAGCGUUGUCCGGAUUUAUUGGGCGUAAAGCGAGCGCAGGCGGCUUCUUAAGUCUGAUGUGAAAGCCCCCGGCUCAACCGGGGAGGGUCAUUGGAAACGGGGAGACUUGAGUGCAGAAGAGGAGAGUGGAAUUCGAUGUGUAGCGGUGAAAUGCGUAGAUAUAUGGAGGAACACCAGUGGCGAAGGCGGCUCUCUGGUCUGUAACUGACGCUGAGGCUAGAAAGCGUGGGGAGCAAACAGG
RNAcentral lists this ribosomal RNA (429 nucleotides) under Gemmatimonadota bacterium. Its description in RNAcentral is "Gemmatimonadetes bacterium partial 16S ribosomal RNA". It matches the Rfam family "Bacterial small subunit ribosomal RNA", at positions 355 to 776 of the family's 1533-position model. The record is from RNAcentral. Lineage: Bacteria; Pseudomonadati; Gemmatimonadota.